UGGCCCAGCACCUGUCCCUCUGCUACUGCUUGCUCGCACUCUCCACAGGGCAAAGCAGUGUACAUAGCCUCCCUGCCCCAGCUCUUAAGAAUCCAGGGACUUCCCUGAAGGUCCAGUGGUAAAGAAUCCGCUUUACAAUGCAGGGGACGUGGGCUCGAUCCCUGGUCGGGGAACUAAGAUCCCACAUGCCACGGGGCCAGUAAGCCCGCGCGCCACAACUACUGAGCUCACACACCUCAACUAGAGCCCGCGUGCCGCAGACUACAGAGCCCACACGCCCUGGAGCCUGCGCACCACAGCUAGAGAAGAGAAAACCCAGAAAACGCGCAGGCCACAACUAGAGAGAAGCCCGCUCGCUACAACAAAGAGCCCAAGUGCCGCAACGAAAGAUCCUGCAUGCCUCAACGAUCCCGUGCGCCACAACUAAGACCCGACGCAGCCAAAAAGGAAGCCUGUUUUAAGGAUCAAGUGAGAUAAGUAAGUGAAAGAAGUUUCGGAAAAGUUUAAAGACCUCUCUAGCUGUCCACCCUGAGAACAACUCAUUAUCUGCAGAUCUGCAGGUCAGCUACAAUUUAGCUGAUUUCAGCUGGACUCGGUUGGAUUCAACUUCAGAUUAUAAAUUGGAUUCAGGUCUGCUGUGCUUGUCUCAUCCGGAGACAAAUGGCGAUGCAGGAUAAAUUCUCCCCACAGGAUAGCUGGAACAUAAGAAGCCAAGCAAAAUCAUACAACGAUGGAUCCAUCAGAUGUCCAGACUCACAGAACGUACAACACCGAGAGUGAACCUUAAUGUAAACUAUGGACUUUGGGUGAUGAUGACGUACUGAUGUAGGUUCAUUGAU
This is a long non-coding RNA of Globicephala melas (long-finned pilot whale), 839 nucleotides long. RefSeq lists it as uncharacterized. Lineage: Eukaryota; Metazoa; Chordata; Mammalia; Artiodactyla; Delphinidae. The record is from RefSeq and is a predicted model, not a curated record.